CAAGUCGAGUGCGCGGUGCCGUAGCAAUACGGUACUGGCGCACGGCGCACGGGUGCGUAACACGUGGGUAAUCUGCCCUCUGAUGGGGAAUAACUCGCCGAAAGGCGAGCUAAUACCGCAUAACAUUCCUUGGAUUCCGGUCCGAGGAUUCAAAGGCGUAAGUCGUCGGAGGUGGAGCCCGCGCACGAUUAGCUAGUUGGUAGGGUAAUGGCCUACCAAGGCUAUGAUCGUUAGCUGGUCUGAGAGGAUGGCCAGCCACACUGGAACUGAGACACGGUCCAGACUCCUACGGGAGGCAGCAGUGGGGAAUCUUGCACAAUGGGCGAAAGCCUGAUGCCGCGACGCCGCGUGGGGGAUGAAGCUUCUCGGAGUGUAAACCCCUUUCGACCGGGACGAAUACCUCGCAAGAGGGGUGACGGUACCGGUAUAAGAAGCCCCGGCUAACUACGUGCCAGCAGCCGCGGUAAGACGUAGGGGGCCAGCGUUGCUCGGAAUUACUGGGUGUAAAGGGUUCGUAGGCGGUGUGGCAAGUCGGGAGUGAAAUCUCUGAGCUUAACUCAGGGGCUGCUUCCGAAACUGCUGUGCUAGAGUGUGGGAGAGGCGCGUGGAAUUGCAGGUGUAGCGGUGAAAUGCGUAGAUAUCUGCAGGAACACCCGUGGCGAAAGCGGCGCGCUGGACCACUACUGACGCUGAGGAACGAAAGCUAGGGGAGCAAACAGGAUUAGAUACCCUGGUAGUCCUAGCCCUAAACGAUCAGGACUUGGGGUGCCACCCGUUCGGGUGUCGUCCCGGAGCUAACGCGUUAAGUCCUGCACCUGGGGAGUACGGUCGCAAGACUGAAACUCAAAGGAAUUGAC
Molecule: ribosomal RNA, 857 nt
Filed under: uncultured Acidobacteriota bacterium
Lineage: Bacteria; Pseudomonadati; Acidobacteriota
Description: bacterial SSU rRNA
Rfam family: Bacterial small subunit ribosomal RNA
Source: RNAcentral